ACCUGGCGGGCUCAGUUGGUAGAGCACAAGACUCUUGACCUUGGGAUUUUGGGUCUGAACCCCACGUUGGGUG
This 73-nucleotide transfer RNA is filed under the name Felis catus (domestic cat). It matches the Rfam family "tRNA". From Rfam's summary of the family: Transfer RNA (tRNA) molecules are approximately 80 nucleotides in length. The record is from Rfam by way of RNAcentral. Lineage: Eukaryota; Metazoa; Chordata; Mammalia; Carnivora; Felidae.